This 245-nucleotide ribosomal RNA is filed under the name uncultured bacterium. RNAcentral's name for it is "partial 16S ribosomal RNA". It matches the Rfam family "Bacterial small subunit ribosomal RNA", at positions 524 to 768 of the family's 1533-position model. The record is from RNAcentral.
UACGUAUGGUGCAAGCGUUAUCCGGAUUUACUGGGUGUAAAGGGAGUGUAGGUGGCAGCACAAGUCAGAAGUGAAAGCCCGGGGCUCAACCCCGGGACUGCUUUUGAAACUGUGUAGCUAGAGUGCAGGAGAGGUAAGUGGAAUUCCUAGUGUAGCGGUGAAAUGCGUAGAUAUUAGGAGGAACACCGGUGGCGAAGGCGGCUUACUGGACUGUAACUGACACUGAGGCUCGAAAGCGUGGGGAG